UCCAGACUCCUACGGGAGGCAGCAGUGAGGAAUAUUGGUCAAUGGGCGCGAGCCUGAACCAGCCAAGUCGCGUGAGGGAAGACGGUCCUAUGGAUUGUAAACCUCUUUUGUCGGGGAGCAAAAGACGCCACGUGUGGCGUUCCGAGAGUACCCGAAGAAAAAGCAUCGGCUAACUCCGUGCCAGCAGCCGCGGUAAUACGGAGGAUGCGAGCGUUAUCCGGAUUUAUUGGGUUUAAAGGGUGCGCAGGCGGGCUGUUAAGCCGGCGGUAAAAAUUCAGGGCUCAACCCUGUCGAGCCGUCGGAACUGGCAGUCUUGAGUGGGCGAGAAGUAUGCGGAAUGCGUGGUGUAGCGGUGAAAUGCAUAGAUAUCGCGCAGAACUCCGAUUGGGAAGGCAGCAUGCCGGCGCCACACUGACGCUGAGGCACGAAAGCGUGGGUAUCGAACAGGAUUAGAUACCCCGGUAGU
Molecule: ribosomal RNA, 466 nt
Filed under: uncultured bacterium
Lineage: Bacteria
Description: bacterial SSU rRNA
Rfam family: Bacterial small subunit ribosomal RNA
Source: RNAcentral